GUGGGGAAUAUUGGACAAUGGGGGGAACCCUGAUCCAGCCAUGCCGCGUGUGUGAAGAAGGCCUUUUGGUUGUAAAGCACUUUAAGCGAGGAGGAGGCUACCGAGAUUAAUACUCUUGGAUAGUGGACGUUACUCGCAGAAUAAGCACCGGCUAACUCUGUGCCAGCAGCCGCGGUAAUACAGAGGGUGCAAGCGUUAAUCGUAUUUACUGGGCGUAAAGCGCGCGUAGGUGGCCAAUUAAGUCAAAUGUGAAAUCCCCGAGCUUAACUUGGGAAUUGCAUUCGAUACUGGUUGGCUAGAGUAUGGGAGAGGAUGGUAGAAUUCCAGGUGUAGCGGUGAAAUGCGUAGAGAUCUGGAGGAAUACCGAUGGCGAAGGCAGCCAUCUGGCCUAAUACUGACACUGAGGUGCGAAAGCAUGGGGAGCAAACAGGAUUAGAUACCCUGGUAGUCC
RNAcentral lists this ribosomal RNA (451 nucleotides) under uncultured bacterium. Its description in RNAcentral is "bacterial SSU rRNA". It matches the Rfam family "Bacterial small subunit ribosomal RNA", at positions 354 to 796 of the family's 1533-position model. The record is from RNAcentral.